RNAcentral lists this ribosomal RNA (301 nucleotides) under uncultured bacterium. RNAcentral describes it as "partial 16S ribosomal RNA". It matches the Rfam family "Bacterial small subunit ribosomal RNA", at positions 509 to 809 of the family's 1533-position model. The record is from RNAcentral.
CAGCCGCCGCGGUAAUACGAAGGGUGCAAGCGUUACUCGGAAUUACUGGGCGUAAAGCGUGCGUAGGUGGUGGUUUAAGUCCGUUGUGAAAGCCCUGGGCUCAACCUGGGAAUUGCAGUGGAUACUGGGUCACUAGAGUGUGGUAGAGGAUAGUGGAAUUUCCGGUGUAGCAGUGAAAUGCGUAGAGAUCGGAAGGAACAUCUGUGGCGAAGGCGACUAUCUGGGCCAACACUGACACUGAGGCACGAAAGCGUGGGUAGCAAACAGGAUUAGAUACCCCGGUAGUCCCUGUCUCUUAUAA